Molecule: ribosomal RNA, 482 nt
Filed under: uncultured bacterium
Lineage: Bacteria
Description: partial 16S ribosomal RNA
Rfam family: Bacterial small subunit ribosomal RNA
Source: RNAcentral
AUUGAACGCUGGCGGCAUGCUUUACACAUGCAAGUCGAACGGUAACAGGCCGCAAGGUGCUGACGAGUGGCGAACGGGUGAGUAAUGCAUCGGAACGUGCACAGUCGUGGGGGAUAACUACUCGAAAGAGUAGCUAAUACCGCAUACGAUCUAUGGAUGAAAGCGGGGGACCGUAAGGCCUCGCGCGAUUGGAGCGGCCGAUGUCAGAUUAGGUAGUUGGUGGGGUAAAGGCUCACCAAGCCAACGAUCUGUAGCUGGUCUGAGAGGACGACCAGCCACACUGGGACUGAGACACGGCCCAGACUCCUACGGGAGGCAGCAGUGGGGAAUUUUGGACAAUGGGCGCAAUCCUGAUCCAGCAAUGCCGCGUGCAGGAAGAAGGCCUUCGGGUUGUAAACUGCUUUUGUACGGAACGAAACGGCUCUGGUUAAUACCCGGGGCUAAUGACGGUACCGUAAGAAUAAGCACCGGCUAACUACGUG